CCCGCUGAACUUAAGCAUAUCAGUCAGCGGAGGAAGAGAAACUAACAAGGAUUCCUGCAGUAGCGCGCGAGCGAAGCAGGAUCAGCACGGAUUUGGAAUCUGGGCCAGCAAUGGACCUGAAUUGUAGAGCACGGAUCGGGCUGGGCGCGGUGCUCGAGUCUUCUGGAAGGAGGCGCCACAGAGGGUGAGAGCCCCGUUGGGCACCGUCGCGGCAGCCGGGAAGCGUGCACAGAGUCGAGUUGCUUGGGAAUGCAGCUCAAAGGGGUGGUACAGCACAUCCAAGGCUAAAUAUAGGCAGGAGACCGAUAGCGAACAAGUACCGCGAGGGAAAGAUGAGAAGCAAUCCGAGAGGAUAGUGAAAAGAGCGUGAAAUUGUUAAAAGGGAAGCGUAAGAGCGGGGGGGUGUGAGUGCGUUGGUGUAGAGAGCUGGGUGAGGGGGCUAGUUGUUUACGGGUGGUUUGCCAUUUGUUUACGGCUGGUCUGCUUCUCAACUCUUAUUCCGAUCACACACAGACUGGCCGUUCCGUGCUGCAACAAGACUCUGUUCGUCAAGCGCAUUCGUGCAGGCGAUGGCAGAGGGAUAGGCAGCGUGGAGAGGCUCGUGGUUGGGGAGAGGUGAUUGGGAUUGUGCAUGGGUUAUGCUGUGCACUCUUAAACAGUCACCCUCCUCCCAAUCCACAUUACCACCAUCCCGCUCUUAUGUCCCGUCUUGAAACACGG
RNAcentral lists this ribosomal RNA (720 nucleotides) under uncultured fungus. RNAcentral's name for it is "eukaryotic LSU rRNA". It matches the Rfam family "Eukaryotic large subunit ribosomal RNA", at positions 24 to 664 of the family's 3401-position model. Lineage: Eukaryota; Fungi. The record is from RNAcentral.